RNAcentral lists this ribosomal RNA (500 nucleotides) under uncultured bacterium. RNAcentral describes it as "partial 16S ribosomal RNA". It matches the Rfam family "Bacterial small subunit ribosomal RNA", at positions 28 to 523 of the family's 1533-position model. The record is from RNAcentral.
GAUGAACGCUAGCGGCAGGCUUAAUACAUGCAAGUCGAGGGGCAGCACAGGUAGCAAUACUGGGUGGCGACCGGCAAACGGGUGCGGAACACGUACGCAACCUUCCUUUAAGUGGGGGAUAGCCCAGGGAAACUUGGAUUAAUACCCCUUAACAUUAUGAGAUGGCAUCAUUUUAUAAUUAAAGCUCCGGCGCUUAAAGCUGGGCGUGCGCCUGAUUAGGUAGUUGGCGGGGUAACAGCCCACCAAGCCUACGAUCAGUAACUGGUGUGAGAGCACGACCAGUAACACAGGCACGGAUACACGAGCACGACUCCUGCGGAAGGCAUCAUUAAGGAAUAUUGGUCAAUGGACGCAAGUCUGAACCAGCCAUGCCGCGUGGAGGAUGACGGCCCUCUGGGUUGUAAACUCCUUUUAUCUGGGAAGAAAUGCAGAUUUUCUAAUCUGUUUGACGGUACCAGAGGAAUAAGCACCGGCUAACUCCGUGCCAGCCGCCGCCGUAA